This 375-nucleotide ribosomal RNA is filed under the name uncultured eukaryote. RNAcentral's name for it is "partial 18S ribosomal RNA". It matches the Rfam family "Eukaryotic small subunit ribosomal RNA", at positions 592 to 976 of the family's 1831-position model. The record is from RNAcentral.
CAAUAGCGUAUAUUUAAGUUGUUGCAGUUAAAAAGCUCGUAGUUGGAUUUCGGUUAAGAGCGACCGGUCCGCCGUUUGGUGUGCACUGGUUGGUUUUAACUUCCUGUAGAGGACGUGCUCUGGGUUUAACGACCGGGACUCGGAGUCUACGUGGUUACUUUGAAAAAAUUAGAGUGUUCAAAGCGGGCUUACGCUUGAAUAUUUCAGCAUGGAAUAACACUAUAGGACUCCUGUCCUAUUUCGUUGGUCUCGGGACGGGAGUAAUGAUUAAGAGGAACAGUUGGGGGCAUUCGUAUUUCAUUGUCAGAGGUGAAAUUCUUGGAUUUAUGAAAGACGAACUUCUGCGAAAGCAUUUGCCAAGGAUGUUUNCAUUAA